ACACAAUCUUAAAGUGUUUCCAUCUUAGAAAAAUCUUUUCAAGUAUUUCUUUUGUGUUUUUUUAACCUAUAAAAAAGAGAUGAUGGAAUAUAUUUUAUAAACUGAAUUUUAUCUUACUCCUUUUCACUCUCCCAACUGCAAUUUAAUAGUUGUCAGAUUUCCCUGAGCAUUGGAUUUAAGUAUAUAGGACCCAGAUAUUCCUCAGUAAAUUAGUUUGCUAACUACUUUGUCACUUUUGUGACUUCACAUUUGAGAAAUAGGUUAAUACAGAAAUCUACCU
Molecule: long non-coding RNA, 280 nt
Filed under: Spermophilus dauricus (Daurian ground squirrel)
Lineage: Eukaryota; Metazoa; Chordata; Mammalia; Rodentia; Sciuridae
Description: WT1 antisense RNA conserved region 8 (ENSSDAG00000002393.1)
Rfam family: WT1 antisense RNA conserved region 8
Source: RNAcentral